Molecule: ribosomal RNA, 465 nt
Filed under: uncultured bacterium
Lineage: Bacteria
Description: partial 16S ribosomal RNA
Rfam family: Bacterial small subunit ribosomal RNA
Source: RNAcentral
GACGAACGCUGGCGGCGUGCUUAACACAUGCAAGUCGAACGGAAAGGCCCCUUUGGGGGUACUCGAGUGGCGAACGGGUGAGUAACACGUGAGUAACCUGCCCUUGACUUCGGGAUAACUUCAGGAAACUGGGGCUAAUACCGGAUAGGAAUCCUUGCUGCAUGGUGGGGGUUGGAAAGCUUCGGCGGUUUUGGAUGGACUCGCGGCUUAUCAGCUUGUUGGUGGGGUAGUGGCUUACCAAGGCUUUGACGGGUAGCCGGCCUGAGAGGGCGACCGGCCACAUUGGGACUGAGAUACGGUCCAGACUCCUACGAGAGGCAGCAGUGGGGAAUAUUGCACAAUGGGCGGAAGCCUGAUGCAGCAACGCCGCGUGCGGGAUGACGGCCUUCGGGUUGUAAACCGCUUUCAGCAGGGGCGAAGCUUGUGGUGACGGUACCUGCAGAAGAAGCACCGGCUAACUACGUG